RNAcentral lists this ribosomal RNA (253 nucleotides) under uncultured bacterium. Its description in RNAcentral is "partial 16S ribosomal RNA". It matches the Rfam family "Bacterial small subunit ribosomal RNA", at positions 524 to 776 of the family's 1533-position model. The record is from RNAcentral.
UACGUAGGUGGCAAGCGUUGUUCGGAAUAACUGGGCGUAAAGGAUGCGUAGGCGGUUAAACAAGUUAUAUGUUAAAUAUAUAGGCUUAACCUGUAGAAAGCAUAUAAAACUGUUUAACUAGAGUGCAGGAGAGGUAAGUGGAAUUCCUAGUGUAGCGGUGAAAUGCAUAGAUAUCGCGCAGAACUCCGAUUGCGAAGGCAGCAUGCCGGCUCCACACUGACGCUGAGGCACGAAAGCGUGGGUAUCGAACAGG